RNAcentral lists this ribosomal RNA (467 nucleotides) under uncultured bacterium. RNAcentral describes it as "partial 16S ribosomal RNA". It matches the Rfam family "Bacterial small subunit ribosomal RNA", at positions 28 to 507 of the family's 1533-position model. The record is from RNAcentral.
GAUGAACGCUGGCGGCGUGCUUAACACAUGCAAGUCGAACGGAAAGGCCCAAGCUUGCUUGGGUACUCGAGUGGCGAACGGGUGAGUAACACGUGGGUGAUCUGCCCUGCACUUCGGGAUAAGCCUGGGAAACUGGGUCUAAUACCGGAUAGGACGAUGGUUUGGAUGCCAUUGUGGAAAGUUUUUUCGGUGUGGGAUGAGCUCGCGGCCUAUCAGCUUGUUGGUGGGGUAAUGGCCUACCAAGGCGUCGACGGGUAGCCGGCCUGAGAGGGUGUACGGCCACAAUGGGACUGAGAUACGGCCCAGACUCCUACGGGAGGCAGCAGUGGGGAAUAUUGCACAAUGGGCGCAAGCCGGAUGCAGCGACGCCGCGUGGGGGAUGACGGCCUGCGGGUUGUAAUCUCCUUUCGCUAGGGACGAAGCGUUUUGUGACGGUACCUGGAGAAGAAGCACCGGCUAACUACGUG